This 386-nucleotide RNase P RNA is filed under the name Falsibacillus albus. RNAcentral's name for it is "Bacterial RNase P class B". It matches the Rfam family "Bacterial RNase P class B". From Rfam's summary of the family: Ribonuclease P (RNase P) is a ubiquitous endoribonuclease, found in archaea, bacteria and eukarya as well as chloroplasts and mitochondria. Its best characterised activity is the generation of mature 5'-ends of tRNAs by cleaving the 5'-leader elements of precursor-tRNAs. Cellular RNase Ps are ribonucleoproteins. The record is from Rfam by way of RNAcentral. Lineage: Bacteria; Bacillati; Bacillota; Bacilli; Caryophanales; Bacillaceae.
ACGUUCAGGUAAUCGCUGCAACUUAAGUUGUAGAGGAAAGUCCAUGCUCGCACAGUGCUGAGAUGCCUGUAGUGUUCGUGCCUAGCAAAUUCAUAAGCUAGGGCAGCCUGGUAUAGACUGGGUUGACGGCAGGGAAAACGCCUAAGUCCUUUCGGAUAUGGCGUGAAUACUUUGAAAGUGCCACAGUGACGAAGUCUUAUGAGAAAUCAUAAGAGUGGAACGAGGUAAACCCCACGAGUGAGAAACCCAAAUUAUGGUAGGGGCACCUUCUUGGAGGAAUUCAACGAAGAGAAGGACAGAGAAGUUCUCUGUAGAUAGAUGAUUACCACCGGAGUACGAGAUUUCGAUCGCUUGCAGUACGAAGGAACAGAACAUGGCUUACAGGA